Molecule: ribosomal RNA, 495 nt
Filed under: uncultured bacterium
Lineage: Bacteria
Description: partial 16S ribosomal RNA
Rfam family: Bacterial small subunit ribosomal RNA
Source: RNAcentral
GACGAACGCUGGCGGCGUGCCUAAUACAUGCAAGUCGAACGCUGAAGGAGGAGCUUGCUCUUCUGGAUGAGUUGCGAACGGGUGAGUAACGCGUAGGUAACCUGCCUGGUAGCGGGGGAUAACUAUUGGAAACGAUAGCUAAUACCGCAUAACAGUAGAUGUUGCAUGACAUUUACUUAAAAGGUGCAAUUGCAUCACUACCAGAUGGACCUGCGUUGUAUUAGCUAGUUGGUGGGGUAACGGCUCACCAAGGCGACGAUACAUAGCCGACCUGAGAGGGUGAUCGGCCACACUGGGACUGAGACACGGCCCAGACUCCUACGGGAGGCAGCAGUAGGGAAUCUUCGGCAAUGGACGGAAGUCUGACCGAGCAACGCCGCGUGAGUGAAGAAGGUUUUCGGAUCGUAAAGCUCUGUUGUAAGAGAAGAACGAGUGUGAGAGUGGAAAGUCCACACUGUGACGGUAUCUUACCAGAAAGGGACGGCUAACUACGUG